RNAcentral lists this ribosomal RNA (497 nucleotides) under uncultured bacterium. RNAcentral's name for it is "partial 16S ribosomal RNA". It matches the Rfam family "Bacterial small subunit ribosomal RNA", at positions 28 to 507 of the family's 1533-position model. The record is from RNAcentral.
GAUGAACGCUGGCGGCGUGCCUAAUACAUGCAAGUCGAGCGAACGGACGAGAAGCUUGCUUCUCUGAUGUUAGCGGCGGACGGGUGAGUAACACGUGGAUAACCUACCUAUAAGACUGGGAUAACUUCGGGAAACCGGAGCUAAUACCGGAUAAUAUUUUGAACCGCAUGGUUCAAAAGUGAAAGACGGUCUUGCUGUCACUGAUAGAUGGAUCCGCGCUGCAUUAGCUAGUUGGUAAGGUAACGGCUUACCAAGGCAACGAUGCAUAGCCGACCUGAGAGGGUGAUCGGCCACGCUGGAACUGAGACACGGUCCAGACUCCUACGGGAGGCAGCAGUAGGGAAUCUUCCGCAAUGGGCGAAAGCCUGACGGAGCAACGCCGCGUGAGUGAUGAAGGUCUUCGGAUCGUAAAACUCUGUUAUUAGGGAAGAACAUAUGUGUAAGUAACUGUGCACAUCUUGACGGUACCUAAUCAGAAAGCCACGGCUAACUACGUG